This 506-nucleotide ribosomal RNA is filed under the name uncultured bacterium. Its description in RNAcentral is "partial 16S ribosomal RNA". It matches the Rfam family "Bacterial small subunit ribosomal RNA", at positions 29 to 523 of the family's 1533-position model. The record is from RNAcentral.
AGUGAACGCUGGCGGUAGGCCUAACACAUGCAAGUCGAACGGCAGCACAGGAGAGCUUGCUCUCUGGGUGGCGAGUGGCGGACGGGUGAGGAAUACAUCGGAAUCUACUCUGUCGUGGGGGAUAACGUAGGGAAACUUACGCUAAUACCGCAUACGACCUACGGGUGAAAGCAGGGGAUCUUCGGACCUUGCGCGAUUGAAUGAGCCGGUGUCGGAUUAGCUAGUUGGCGGGGUAAAGGCCCACCAAGGCGACGAUCCGUAGCUGGUCUGAGAGGAUGAGCAGCCACAAUGGAACAGAGACACGGUCCAGACUCCUACGGGAGGCAGCAGUGGGGAAUAUUGGACAAUGGGCGCAAGCCUGAUCCAGCCAUACCGCGUGGGUGAAGAAGGCCUUCGGGUUGUAAAGCCCUUUUGUUGGGAAAGAAAUCCAGCUGGCUAAUACCCGGUUGGGAUGACGGUACCCAAAGAAUAAGCACCGGCUAACUUCGUGCCAGCCGCCGCCGUAA